Molecule: ribosomal RNA, 492 nt
Filed under: uncultured bacterium
Lineage: Bacteria
Description: partial 16S ribosomal RNA
Rfam family: Bacterial small subunit ribosomal RNA
Source: RNAcentral
AGUGAACGCUGGCGGUAGGCCUAACACAUGCAAGUCGAACGGCAGCACAGUAAGAGCUUGCUCUUACGGGUGGCGAGUGGCGGACGGGUGAGGAAUACAUCGGAAUCUACUUUUUCGUGGGGGAUAACGUAGGGAAACUUACGCUAAUACCGCAUACGACCUACGGGUGAAAGCAGGGGAUCUUCGGACCUUGCGCGAUUGAAUGAGCCGAUGUCGGAUUAGCUAGUUGGCGGGGUAAAGGCCCACCAAGGCGACGAUCCGUAGCUGGUCUGAGAGGAUGAUCAGCCACACUGGAGCUGAGACACGGUCCAGACUCCUACGGGAGGCAGCAGUGGGGAAUAUUGGACAAUGGGCGCAAGCCUGAUCCAGCCAUACCGCGUGGGUGAAGAAGGCCUUCUGGUUGUAAAGCCCUUUUGUUGGGAAAGAAAAGCAGCAGGUUAAUACCCCGCUGUUCUGACGGUACCCAAAGAAUAAGCACCGGCUAACUUCGUG